GACGAACGCUGGCGGCGUGCUUAACACAUGCAAGUCGAGGGGAAACGAUAUUGGAAGCUUGCUUCCGAUAGGCGUCGACCGGCGCACGGGUGAGUAACGCGUAUCCAACCUGCCCACCACUUGGGGAUAACCUUGCGAAAGUAAGACUAAUACCCAAUGACGUCCAUAGAAGACAUCUGAAAUGGAUUAAAGAUUUAUCGGUGAUGGAUGGGGAUGCGUCUGAUUAGCUUGUUGGCGGGGUAACGGCCCACCAAGGCGACGAUCAGUAGGGGUUCUGAGAGGAAGGUCCCCCACAUUGGAACUGAGACACGGUCCAAACUCCUACGGGAGGCAGCAGUGAGGAAUAUUGGUCAAUGGGCGAGAGCCUGAACCAGCCAAGUAGCGUGCAGGAUGACGGCCCUAUGGGUUGUAAACUGCUUUUAUAAGGGAAUAAAGUGAGUCUCGUGAGGCUUUUUGCAUGUACCUUAUGAAUAAGGACCGGCUAAUUCCGUGCCAGCAGCCGCCGUAA
RNAcentral lists this ribosomal RNA (508 nucleotides) under uncultured bacterium. Its description in RNAcentral is "partial 16S ribosomal RNA". It matches the Rfam family "Bacterial small subunit ribosomal RNA", at positions 28 to 523 of the family's 1533-position model. The record is from RNAcentral.